AUCAAAAACAGAGUCGACAGGUGACUUUAAAAUUAAAUAUAUUGUCGAUACCUUCUGCCCAGUGUUUAAUUAUAAACGGCCGCAGUACCUUGACUGUGCUAAGGUAGCAUAAUCAAUUGGCUAUUAAUUGUAGUCUAGUAUGAAUGAAGUAAUGAAUAGACGCUAUAAUAAGAAAUAUUUUAUGAAUUUAUUAAUCUGGUGAAAAUACCAGUAACUAGAAAAAAGACGAGAAGACCCUUAGAGUUUUGAAUAACAUUUGUGACUAAAUUUCAAUGACUAAUUUCAUUGAGACUAUUAUAUCAAAUACUUUUUUGUUGGGGCGACAAGAAAGCAUAAAACCUUUCUAAUAACUAAAUAAUUAAAAAUCUGACGAUGUUUAUAUGAAUAAAUAAACUACCUUAGGGAUAACAGCAUAAUGAUAAAAUUUAGUUUGUGACCUCGAUGUUGGACUAGGGACUUAUACACUAACCGGGAUAAAAGAUUGUUCUGUUUCGAACAGUAAUCCCC
Molecule: ribosomal RNA, 507 nt
Filed under: Physella carolinae
Lineage: Eukaryota; Metazoa; Mollusca; Gastropoda; Physidae
Description: partial 16S ribosomal RNA
Rfam family: Bacterial large subunit ribosomal RNA
Source: RNAcentral